RNAcentral lists this ribosomal RNA (754 nucleotides) under Acinetobacter johnsonii. Its description in RNAcentral is "bacterial SSU rRNA". It matches the Rfam family "Bacterial small subunit ribosomal RNA", at positions 28 to 776 of the family's 1533-position model. Lineage: Bacteria; Pseudomonadati; Pseudomonadota; Gammaproteobacteria; Moraxellales; Moraxellaceae. The record is from RNAcentral.
AUUGAACGCUGGCGGCAGGCUUAACACAUGCAAGUCGAGCGGGGAAGGGUAGCUUGCUACCUGACCUAGCGGCGGACGGGUGAGUAAUGCUUAGGAAUCUGCCUAUUAGUGGGGGACAACAUUCCGAAAGGAAUGCUAAUACCGCAUACGCCCUACGGGGGAAAGCAGGGGAUCUUCGGACCUUGCGCUAAUAGAUGAGCCUAAGUCAGAUUAGCUAGUUGGUGGGGUAAAGGCCUACCAAGGCGACGAUCUGUAGCGGGUCUGAGAGGAUGAUCCGCCACACUGGGACUGAGACACGGCCCAGACUCCUACGGGAGGCAGCAGUGGGGAAUAUUGGACAAUGGGCGCAAGCCUGAUCCAGCCAUGCCGCGUGUGUGAAGAAGGCCUUUUGGUUGCAAAGCACUUUAAGCGAGGAGGAGGCUACUUGGAUUAAUACUCCAGGAUAGUGGACGUUACUCGCAGAAUAAGCACCGGCUAACUCUGUGCCAGCAGCCGCGGUAAUACAGAGGGUGCGAGCGUUAAUCGGAUUUACUGGGCGUAAAGCGUGCGUAGGCGGCUUUUUAAGUCGGAUGUGAAAUCCCUGAGCUUAACUUAGGAAUUGCAUUCGAUACUGGGAAGCUAGAGUAUGGGAGAGGAUGGUAGAAUUCCAGGUGUAGCGGUGAAAUGCGUAGAGAUCUGGAGGAAUACCGAUGGCGAAGGCAGCCAUCUGGCCUAAUACUGACGCUGAGGUACGAAAGCAUGGGGAGCAAACAGG